CAGCUAAUAGGCCGGUGACGAGGACCGCCGAGCGCCACCCGCCCGGGAAGGGAAACCACCCUUGGUCGGACUCGUGACACUCACCUUGUUUUACCAAGACCAAAUACCUUUACAAGAGCAUCUGAGUGAAUCAUUUAUAUUUACCCAGGCUCGAACGAUACUGUCCCAAAGAGCGUCUGGAGGACGGAGUUGUCAAGCGUGAUGGAGAAGUCUUUGAGUGGGCAGACCUUCCCUGGAAGAGCAGCUGCUUUUUGUCUAGAUCAUGGCUAGGAGGGGUUCGGCCUUAGGGUUGCUGUCAUGAAGCGCUUACCGGGUGCAACAAAGGGACAAGAGGGAAUGGCUUAAAACAGUAAAGACUGAAUUGAGAAGCGAUGAAAGGAAAAUAAAAUUAAUAGGAUUAAAUAAA
Oncorhynchus gorbuscha (pink salmon) is the source of this 406-nucleotide long non-coding RNA. RefSeq lists it as uncharacterized. The transcript has 3 exons. The record is from RefSeq and is a predicted model, not a curated record. NCBI's taxonomy places the organism in Eukaryota, Metazoa, Chordata, Actinopteri, Salmoniformes, Salmonidae.